GACGAACGCUGGCGGAGUGCUUAACACAUGCAAGUCGAACGAGGUCCAUCCGAGCUUGCUCGGGGAAGACCUAGUGGCGAACGGGUGAGGAACACGUGAGAAACCUGCCUCGAAGUGGGGGACGAACAGUGGGAACCGACUGCUAAUACCCACUAGUCUUUUUCCUUUCGUCAUGUUGGUAAAAAGUAAAAGAAAGUAAUUACUACUUCGUAGAGGGUCGUCGCGGCGGUACCUACG
Molecule: ribosomal RNA, 237 nt
Filed under: uncultured bacterium
Lineage: Bacteria
Description: partial 16S ribosomal RNA
Rfam family: Bacterial small subunit ribosomal RNA
Source: RNAcentral